This 253-nucleotide ribosomal RNA is filed under the name uncultured bacterium. RNAcentral's name for it is "partial 16S ribosomal RNA". It matches the Rfam family "Bacterial small subunit ribosomal RNA", at positions 524 to 776 of the family's 1533-position model. The record is from RNAcentral.
GACGGAGGGGGCUAGCGUUGUUCGGAAUCACUGGGCGUAAAGGGCGCGUAGGCGGCUUUGUAAGCCAGACGUGAAAUCCCGGGGCUUAACCCCGGAGCUGCGUUUGGAACUGCGAAGCUUGAGUCUCGGAGAGGAUGGUGGAAUUCUGAGUGUAGAGGUGAAAUUCGUAGAUAUUCAGAGGAACACCGAUGGCGAAGGCAGCCAUCUGGACGAGUACUGACGCUGAGGCGCGAAAGCGUGGGGAGCAAACAGG